GUAGGUGAACCUGCGGAAGGAUCAUUAACGUAGGGCUUAGGCCCUGCCGAGAUAGAACCCUUGCCUUUUGUAUACCAUCCGUUUCCUCGGCAGGCUCGCCUGCCAAUGGGGACCAAAAUAAACCUUUGUAAUAACCUGUAAUUAGUCUGAUAAAAAAAUAAAAAUUAAAACUUUUAACAACGGAUCUCUUGGUUCUG
This 197-nucleotide unclassified non-coding RNA is filed under the name rhizosphere metagenome. Its description in RNAcentral is "partial ribosomal RNA internal transcribed spacer region". The record is from RNAcentral.